Molecule: long non-coding RNA, 288 nt
Filed under: Panax ginseng (ginseng)
Lineage: Eukaryota; Viridiplantae; Streptophyta; Magnoliopsida; Apiales; Araliaceae
Description: long non-coding RNA (PGIN_LNC014199)
Source: RNAcentral
CACCAUCAAUGUCGUCUCUUGAGAAUUGCCAUUACGAAAAACAUCCACUUGUUAUUCAAACACAUGAAGAAUUUCCAGCAACUGUACUGCACAAAGACAUGGAAGACAACAUAUGACCAAAGAAAUAGAAAAAAAGGAAGUAAGAAUUCCGUAAACAAUGUAUUAGGCAAAGAUGAAGACGCUGCAAGACAAACAAGAGUUAAAUUUUUUUGGAAAAAACACACAAAUUACUUUGAUAAAACAAAUCAAAACUCUUACGAAUCAGAAUUUUUAGAGUUUUAGGAAAAU